UCCAGUAGGGAAAGAGUAGUUAGUG
RNAcentral lists this non-coding RNA (25 nucleotides) under Cricetulus griseus (Chinese hamster). The record is from RNAcentral. Lineage: Eukaryota; Metazoa; Chordata; Mammalia; Rodentia; Cricetidae.